AACUUCUGUUCAGGUUCAUUUCGACUCGUCGAGUGAAACUGGACAUACGUUUGCAAACUAAAAUCGGCCUUCACUGGUUCGACUUAGGGAGUAAACAUUUUACUGUGAAAAAAUUAGAGUGUUCCAGGCAGGUUUUAGCCCGAAUACAUUAGCAUGGAAUAAUGGAAUAGGACUAAGUCCAUUUUAUUGGUUCUUGGAUUUGGUAAUGAUUAAUAGGGACAGUUGGGGGCAUUAGUAUUUAAUAGUCAGAGGUGAAAUUCUUGGAUUUAUUAAGGACUAACCAAUGCGAAAGCAUUUGCCAAAGAUGUUUUCAUUAAUCAAGAACGAAAGUUAGGGGAUCAAAGACGAUCAGAUACCGUCGUAGUCCUAACUAUAAACUAUACCGACUCGGGAUCGGCUGGAAUAAAUGUCCAGUCGGCACCGUAUGAGAAAUCAAAGUCUUUGGGUUCUGGGGGAAGUAUGGUACGCAAGUNGAA
RNAcentral lists this ribosomal RNA (476 nucleotides) under uncultured eukaryote. RNAcentral's name for it is "SSU rRNA". It matches the Rfam family "Eukaryotic small subunit ribosomal RNA", at positions 637 to 1141 of the family's 1831-position model. The record is from RNAcentral.